This 533-nucleotide ribosomal RNA is filed under the name uncultured archaeon. RNAcentral's name for it is "bacterial SSU rRNA". It matches the Rfam family "Archaeal small subunit ribosomal RNA", at positions 339 to 874 of the family's 1478-position model. The record is from RNAcentral.
UCGCGCAAACUUUGCAAUACACGAAAGUGUGACAGGGCUAUCCCGAGUGCCGUCCGCUGAGGAUGGCUUUUAACCAGUCUAGAAAGCUGGUAGAAUAAGGAGAGGGCAAGUCUGGUGUCAGCCGCCGCGGUAAUACCAGCUCUCCGAGUGGUGUGGAUGUUUAUUGGGCCUAAAGCAUCCGUAGCUGGCCAAGCUAGUCCCCUGUUAAACCCACCGAAUUAAUCGUUGGAUUGCGGGGGAUACUGCUCGGCUAGGGGACGAGAGAGGCCGACGGUAUUCUCGGGGUAGGGGUGAAAUCCUAUAAUCCCGGGAAGACCACCAGUGGCGAAGGCUGUCGGCUAGAACGAGCCCGACGGUGAGGGAUGAAAGCUGGGGGAGCGAACCGGAUUAGAUACCCGGGUAGUCCCAGCUGUAAACGAUGCAGGCUAGGUGUUUGGACGGCCACGUGCCGUUCUAGUGCCGCAGGGAAGCUGUUAAGCCUGCCGCCUGGGGAGUACGAUCGCAAGGUUGAAACUUAAAGGAAUUGGCGGGGG